AAAAGUUUAGGAUACCCAGUCCAAGAGCCUUCAAAGCCCUAAGCAAACCUACA
This 53-nucleotide transfer RNA is filed under the name Myodes glareolus (Bank vole). RNAcentral's name for it is "partial tRNA-Trp". Lineage: Eukaryota; Metazoa; Chordata; Mammalia; Rodentia; Cricetidae. The record is from RNAcentral.